GUCAGAAGCUGGUGGGGACCAGAAUCAUGUCUAGAUGCAGUUCAAGGAAACGGAAAUGGUACAGGACUGAGGCUGUGGAUUGAAUUAUAAGAAGGCCUCCCCCCAGAAGAGAGGAAAUUCCACAGCUCUGAGAUUUACCGCUCCAGCCUCUUGGAUAUGUCAGAAGACAGGAAAAGAGAAAAGGAGCGCACGCUCCAACUAUUAACUCGCCGUCCUGGGCUUGGCACACUCUUAGGACGAGGGAGAAUGUGUUGAAGCUUGGGGCAGGCUUUUUACCAGCUGUGCGGAGAAAGCAGAGGAAACCGAGGUAAAUGACUGUGUGUGUCCCGGAGAGGCCCUGAACUCUGCUGACUGAUGCAGAUGGAGUCUUCUGAGGCUGCCAGCUACCAGAGCUUUUGACCAACUGAUGUAGGAAGAAGAAAAUGAACCAAGGGCGCCUGGGUGGCUCAGUUGGUUAAGCGACUGCCUCCGGCUCAGGUCAUGAUCCUGGAGUCCCGGGAUCGAGUCCCACAUCAGGCUCCCUGCUCAGCAGGGAGUCUGCUUCUCCCUCUGACCCUCCCCCCUCUCAUGUGCUCUCUCUCUCAAAUAA
Molecule: long non-coding RNA, 589 nt
Organism: Mirounga angustirostris (Northern elephant seal)
Lineage: Eukaryota; Metazoa; Chordata; Mammalia; Carnivora; Phocidae
Exons: 3
Source: RefSeq, a predicted model, not a curated record